Molecule: ribosomal RNA, 224 nt
Filed under: uncultured bacterium
Lineage: Bacteria
Description: partial 16S ribosomal RNA
Rfam family: Bacterial small subunit ribosomal RNA
Source: RNAcentral
UGGGUGAUCUGCCCUGCACUUUGGGAUAAGCCUGGGAAACUGGGUCUAAUACCGGAUAUGACUCCUCAUCGCAUGGUGGGGGGUGGAAAGCUUUAUUGUGGUUUGGAUGGACUCGCGGCCUAUCAGCUUGUUGGUGAGGUAAUGGCUCACCAAGGCGACGAUCAGUAGCUGGUCUGAGAGGAUGACCAGCCACACUGGGACUGAGACGCCGACCCAGACCUCCG